This is a long non-coding RNA of Hirundo rustica (Barn swallow), 361 nucleotides long. RefSeq lists it as uncharacterized. The transcript has 3 exons. NCBI's taxonomy places the organism in Eukaryota, Metazoa, Chordata, Aves, Passeriformes, Hirundinidae. The record is from RefSeq and is a predicted model, not a curated record.
GAAUAAACUGGAUGCUGACCAUGCUAAUCAGAGUGUAUUUAUGCAAAGGCAGCAGCUGUCAAGGGAAGACACUGUGAUCUGUAUUCCCCAACACUGGUUAUAGGGACUCUCCAGUCUUGUUAAGAUUUGCUAAAUAUCCAAUUCUUUUAUAAAGUGAAACUCAGUCUCAAAGGAGUAUGAAUAAGCCCACCUGUAAGCCAGCUCCACAGACUAUUUCCAGAGCAGCAAGCAAUACUGGUAAGCUUUCUUCUGUGAGCUGAGCUCCCAUGUGCUGCUUCCUCCUGCUGAACGAGGAUGUGAAAGGCUCAAUCAUACCCCUCUGCAGUUCACUCCAUGACUGUGGGCAGGCAUUGUUGCUGGA